This is a long non-coding RNA of Daphnia magna, 1998 nucleotides long. RefSeq lists it as uncharacterized. The transcript is spliced from 5 exons. The record is from RefSeq and is a predicted model, not a curated record. NCBI's taxonomy places the organism in Eukaryota, Metazoa, Arthropoda, Branchiopoda, Diplostraca, Daphniidae.
AUAAUGAUAUAAUUAAAGUAUUCUUUUGUUUUUGUUGGUUAAGCAAAUCCGCCUACAACUAAUGUUUGGUUGCCAUAGAAACGAAACUUCCAUUCCUUUAGUCUGUCUCGCGUAGACCAGUAGAGUAGAAAAAUGAUAAAACUUUGUAAAAUUCUUGGCUAUGCCUAACGGCAAGUAUUCCCAGCACACACUGAUGUAAGGAUGCGAGCUAACUAAUGGUUGUCUCGUUUCCAUGGCAAUUUCUUACAUGGUUUUUCCACAUUUUACCAUGUGCUUCAAUUUGGCCUAAAACUCGAUGCAAUUGUGCUAUUUGACAAUAGGGGGCAUUUUUAUUUGAAAAGGGUGGUCGGAUUUUUUUGGAACAUACUGUACUUCUGGCCUAUGAAAGUAUGAAUUCUCUCAGAACACUCUGAAGUGUUCAACAGUGAAGUAUGGUACGUCCGUCAGAAAAUUGCAUAAAUCAUAUGGUGAAAACCCGAAUUCUAAUGGAUGAACGCCGUGGGGGUGAUUUAAAGGUAUUGGCUUUUCAACCUUACCUGGAAUGAAGGGGGUUAUUACUUUAGGUUGUCCUCCAUGAUGGAGAGCUCUUGGUCUUGGAUAAUCAUUAGUUUUCCUUAAAUGCUGUAGUUUUCAACUGAUGUUUGGUCUGCUGGACAAUGCAUGUGUCUGUAAUGGUGAAUCAUUCUCUAUGAUGAAUCUCUGCUUCAUGUGUUUAUAGCUACAGUUAUGGUGCCUCUGUCUGCUAGCCAUUUAACAUCUGUUUGGUUUAAGGGGGUGACUGUUGCAUGGGAUCUUCCAAUCUUCUAAAGUUACUUCACAGUAAAUCAUUUAGAAUAUUAUUUCAUGCAUAAUUUAUUGGUGGCUACUCUGCAAUUUGUAUUUUAAUGUUUGCAAUGAUCGUAGAAUAUUGCUUGUAGUUACCAGCUGGGAGCUUUGACAAUUGAAGUGGACCUUCUAGAACACUACCAACAUUUAUAAUUGUGUGGCUUACUUUUAGUUGUUUUCUUUGCAGGUCCUUUUGGUCAUUGUGCUUCAUUUGGUGUGGAGCUGAUUGAUUUGGUGGUAAAAGCUUUCCACUGUUCUGUUUGAGAAUCUUUUCCCCCUAUAGCAAUCCACUUUUGAUUGGUGUUUGAAAGUUCUCAUGGACAAGUGAGUAACUCAUCCACUGAAUGGGUUUAGUGUUCAUUUUGUCAGAAGUUGGCACUGCAAUUUCCAUAAUGGGAUUUAUCUUAGUUGCUAGCUGGUUUCUUAUCUCUUUUAGAAGGAUAACUGCUGCAUUUUCCGUCAUGUUUGUGAACCUGCAUCCGUGGUCUGCAGGUAUUUGAGAUUAGCACACUUUACCUUCCUGUGGAGGUCGAUUUCUAUUCACUUCGUAUCCAAUGCUUUCUUUGUGUUGUACUUUCACUGAAAGGUGGUUGGGGAGGAUUUGGCUUGGCGGCUAGGCUGGUUGGAUGCUGAGAUUACAUUUAUAGUUUGUCUUGUUUUAGUGAUUGGAGUGUGUUCUGGCUUAUCCGCAUGUUUCCUGUGUGCUGGUCCUAACCCUGUGGAAUCCGGGAAACUUUAUACAGACGGUCAACAUUAUAUCAGCAAUUCAGCUCGUCCCAGUCGAGCUCACCCCCGACAAGUCUUUAUCGUAUGGCAUGAUACAGAUUGAAGGUUCGAAAUGGAAUGGAAUUCCCGUCAAAUUUAAAGUUGAGUAUUUCGGCCACCUAAUCCGGAUUAUUGUAUCCGUUGCCAAAAAGAAAUAACUUUUGUUAAUAGUUCUUUUGUCUUUAUUUUGAUCCGUCUUUUUUGGUGAUAUCUGAGCUUAACCCAGUUAAGCUUACUAAUUACUAGUAUUUUCCUGGAACAUGAGAUUAAACAUUAAAUAAAGGUCGUUUUAAGUGUAGUUUAUCGAAAAUCUGGUUGCAUGAUAGACGGUUAAAGCUUAUAGAUCACUUUCAUUCUUCGUGUUCUUUUCAUUUAGUAAACAGUAUGAAUACACAGUUAAAGCUGGAA